Molecule: ribosomal RNA, 491 nt
Filed under: uncultured bacterium
Lineage: Bacteria
Description: partial 16S ribosomal RNA
Rfam family: Bacterial small subunit ribosomal RNA
Source: RNAcentral
AGUGAACGCUGGCGGUAGGCCUAACACAUGCAAGUCGAACGGCAGCACAGUAAGAGCUUGCUCUUACGGGUGGCGAGUGGCGGACGGGUGAGGAAUACAUCGGAAUCUACUUUUUCGUGGGGGAUAACGUAGGGAAACUUACGCUAAUACCGCAUACGACCUACGGGUGAAAGCAGGGGAUCUUCGGACCUUGCGCGAUUGAAUGAGCCGAUGUCGGAUUAGCUAGUUGGCGGGGUAAAGGCCCACCAAGGCGACGAUCCGUAGCUGGUCUGAGAGGAUGAUCACCCACACUGGAACUGAGACACGGUCCAGACUCCUACGGGAGGCAGCAGUGGGGAAUAUUGGACAAUGGGCGCAAGCCUGAUCCAGCCAUACCGCGGGGGUGAAGAAGGCCUUCGGGUUGUAAAGCCCUUUUGUUGGGAAAGAAAAGCAGCAGGUUAAUACCCCGCUGUUCGGACGGUACCCAAAGAAUAAGCACCGGCUAACUUCGU